Molecule: long non-coding RNA, 3559 nt
Filed under: Manihot esculenta (cassava)
Lineage: Eukaryota; Viridiplantae; Streptophyta; Magnoliopsida; Malpighiales; Euphorbiaceae
Description: long non-coding RNA (MESC_LNC005010)
Source: RNAcentral
GAAGCUCAACGUCUUGAUAUGAAUUAUUCAUUUCUCAAAGGAAAACUGAAGUGCAUAUCCAAGGCUGAAGCUUCUUUAAUCCAAUUUUUGUAUACAAAGUCAUGUUGUGUUUUUGUCUAUAGUAUCUUGGAUUAAUUGCUUUGUUUUCAACUCUAUCUGUAACUAUAAAAGUUUCCUGAUCAUAAAGAUUUUAUUUUUAUUACUUUCCCAUUAAAUGGAGUUUCAAUGGGCAUGGAUACCCAGUAACAGCAGCCCUCCUCUCCAAAUCCAUCUCAUCCAAAUCAAUAAAACAACUCUCCUCUUAUUCAUAAAUUUCAUUAACCCUUCCCUUUAAUUCAAGAAGCAUCAACGGUUUGCUAAUGUUAGCGUUAUAGUAUAGCUUGAAUUUUGAAUAAAAUUUAAGACUCCAAUUGUGAUUCAAAUCGAAUAUUUAUAAUAGGCUAAAGGCCCAUGUAGAAAUGGGUAGGCGUAAUUAAAAAUUCUGGUUUCAUCGAUUAGCUAGCCAACCGCCUCUUUUGAACUCUGGAAAACUCUGGAGCACCUGAAUUGUGAUUGGCAAUGUCACAGUGUGAGUGACAAUGAGAGUGAUGACGAUGAAUCGGCGAUCGUUCCGAAACCCUAAACGAAAAAGGAGUUAUAGCCUUUUAUUGAUAGAGAUUUGAAGGACAUCAAAGUCUCCAAACUUAUAAGCUGGUAGGACAUGAAAGUUUCAGAGAAUAAGGUACUCUCUCUCCAUUUCCCUCCAUGGGUUUUCAUCUUUAUUGAGUUUAAUGUGUUAUUUACAUAUGGAGAUGGUUGAAUCCAUAGGCUAUUUGAUUUGAUGGUUCCUGAUGAAUAAUCCCUCCUGCUAGAACCAAAAGGUUUUGUGAUUAGCUAUUAGAAUCAGUAAGAAUGUAACUAAUCCAUUUCUUGCCUCCUCCGUUUAUCUCUUCUUUGGCCGAUUCAAAAUUAACGACAAAUUCAAUAAAUCAAAAUCAAUACAAAUCAAUGAAGAUGAUCAUAAUUAGUGGGAAAUUGUGGUCGGACCUUCCACGGGAUAGAACUUGUGUUUUCAAUAGUGAUAGAUCAAGUGGUAGGUUCUCCGUUCGGGAGUUUGAGGUGCAGCUGUUGGCGGUGUGUAGAUCGACGGACCACGGAUGAAAUAUGUUGAGGAAGAGGGAUAGGGUAGUGGAGCAAGAGAGCUAGUGGUUUUCUCGAGGCCAGAAAAGCCAUCAGUGGGGUGAGGCAGGGCCAUAAAUUAUUGAUUUCAGAUAUAAAGAUAAAUUAUCUAUUAAGAGAAAAAAAAUAAUAUGUUCAAAUUUUCAAUUAUAAUAAUAAUAGAGUAAAAAAAUAUUUAUGACAUAAUAAAUUCUCACAAUAAAUGUCUUUAAUUUUAAAUAUUAUUAUAAGAAAUUUUAAUAGUAUUAUAAUUUUACAUCUUAUAGUAUUAUAUCUAUGAAAACAUUUCUAACAGUAUAAUAAUAUUAAGGGAAAAUUAUUAUAGAGUUUCUAAAUUUUAAUAAAAUUUAUUAGUUAGUUUUUAUAAUUUUUAGUUUUAACUAAAAUAUUUUUUAUAUUUUUAAAAUAUAAUAAUUACAUUCUUUUGUUAAUAAUUAUGAUAGUCAAAAGAAAAUUUAACAGUUAAAUGUGCGAGAAUAUUUAGAAAUUACAAAAUUAAUCUUAACAUUCUUGGAAAUUUGCUCUUGAUAUCCACAUUAAUUUCUCAAUCAAAACCAAAUUAAUUAUAUGAAAAACAUAUUCAUUCAUCCAUCAAAUCCAUAUUCAUUCUACAAAAUUAAUAUAAUUCAUCCAUCAAAUCCAGAUUCAUUCUACAAAAUCAAUAUAAUUCAUCCAUCAAAAUUAAAUUUAUUCAAGAAAAUUAAUAUCACUUAUUUAUCAAAUUCAGAAGUCAACAUCUUCAAGAAAUCUAAGUUCUGGUACGAUGAAUAGAAGAAAUAAAUUGCAACAGAGUGAAAAAGUUGUCUAACAAAUACUCUCGCAUCUUCAACAAAUUCAUCUUCCCCUUUCAUUGUCGACGUCGUUAUCCAUAAAAUGAAUAACAAAAGGACUCAAAUCCAGAAUCGCAGCUCACUCUCGAAUUUCAAUAUCCUCAUCGUUGCCGUGUUUGUUGACUUCAAAAUUGUAGCGUUCGUCGAUCCCAGCAUCGCAACGUCUUCCGAUCGGAAUGAGAGGACUAGGAAGAUAAUUUGUUUUAGAUUAAAUGAGAGGAUCAAAAAAGAAAGAGGGAGAAGGGGAGAUUAGUUUCUGCAUUUAGAGAUUAGAUUAGAGUAUUUAAAACUUUUUACAUAAGAGAUAUUUUAAUUAAAGUUAAAAGUUAUAAGGAUUAACUAAUAAUUCAAGAAUUUUAUAAUAAUUUUUUUUAAUAUUAUAUAAAAAUUAAAAUAUAAAAUAUUUUUACAUAUCUCUAUAUCGUUUAUUAGAUUAAAAGUGAAAUUUAUAAAUGAAAUAUAUAGCUAAAAUUUAUUAAAAUUUGAACUUUUAUUUAUAUUAUUUCAAAUUUUAUUAAUUUCAAUGCAAUUAAUUUAGUAUAAUAAUUAGACAUAUUUUAUAUAUUAUUAUAUAUUUCAAAAAAAAAAUUAUAAAGUUUAGUGGGUCGAUUCCACUCCACUGGAGAAAUUAUAGAAUGAAUCAUUGUCUAUAUAAAUAAAAACUAGACGACUAUAUAAAAAUAAAAAAAAAAAUAAUUAUUUUUAUGAUGUAAGCAUCUUGCCGCUAUUCGACAACAGAGGGGGAGAGAGAGGGCUUCCUGAGAUAAUGAGGUGAGGGAGGGGCUGGAGAGGAGGGAUAUGGACAGAGACAGGGGAGGGUUGCAUUUGUAACGAGUGUGUUUUAAUCUUUUUCAUAUUGAUGGAGAAUGAUCAUAUAGUUGCUAGAAUAAUCCUCAAUAUAAUUUUCAAAAUAUAAAGAACGACUAGUAAUAAUAAAAAUAAUACCUGAAAACUAAAUUGUUCCAGCGAUUAAAGCAAAUAGAGGGGGCUUCUCUUACAAUAUUUACUCAAAUUUGAUUAUGCUUAUCAUCUAAAAGAAAUGAUUAACAGUAAUGACAGCUGCCAAAGAUAUGAAGUUUAUAAUUCACUUGUCAAUUUUACUUAAAAGUCUAAGGAAAGCAAUAAAGAGAACUGAUAUUGGCUACAUGCUUUCAGGUCUUUGGGAAUUCUUUGCUUUUAAGCUGAACUGGAAUGCAUUUGGCUACAAAACCAAUUGGCCAAGACACAGCUGCAAUGGCAAUGCAAACACCCCAUUGCCCCCAAUUUAGCCUCUCGGUCCCUGCAAAUCUCCUCAGAAGCUCAACCAUCAGCACUUGAAGAACAAUGGUAAUUCCAAUGAUCGCUAAGAACAAUUUGUUCUUAUGUAUUCCUCUGAAUAUAUUCUUCUUUUCCAUGUUCCUUGCAUUGAACUCAUUAAAGACUUGACACAGGACAAAAGUAUUGAAGACGAUAGUAUUCUUUACCUUCUCAUUCACACCAAAGAUGGAUUUUGCUUUGAAUUCUAGAAUAAGCAAGACAGCAACCUGAUACAACGCUUGGGCAAUGAGAUUCCUCCACAUGAUUUUGGUGAU